GUUCAGCCAGGUGCGUGUUCAGCUUCGCCGUGUACAUCGAACUAGAUGUCAAAACUUGACAUCAUGGGAAAACCUCUACUUUUGUGCAUGGUUGAAUUGGAAGCAGCUCAUUGGUUAACUGUUUAGACAUUCAUUCAGACUUAAGGUUAGAGAUGAGGUUUGGGAUGGUGUCAAAAGGAAACAAAACCCCCACCAAAACAGCAAAACAUCAGAUGGCUCUAGUGUACAAUUGAGAGCAGUUCCUGAAACACCUAAAUGACCAGGCAACACCCCAUGAACCCCUCAGAACAGAAUCAUGGACAUGUUGAUGCUGUCUAUGUAUAAUGGACUGUGAUGUAUAAAACACCCAGCUUUGAGUUUAGCACAGCCGUGUUUUUGUAGGAAGAUCCAG
Long non-coding RNA from Esox lucius (northern pike), 391 nucleotides. The record is from Ensembl. NCBI's taxonomy places the organism in Eukaryota, Metazoa, Chordata, Actinopteri, Esociformes, Esocidae.